GGACAACCUACCCAAAGGUCUGGGAUAACUCCGGGAAACUGGGGAUAAUACCGGAUAGGUCAAGAGUACUGGAAGGGUUUUUUGAUUGAAAGCUCUGGCGCCUUUGGAUGGGUCUGCGGCUGAUUAGGUUGACGCCGGUGUAAAGUACCGGCGUGCCGAUUAUCAGUACGGGUUGUGGGAGCAAGAGCCCGGAGAUGGAUUCUGAGACACGAAUCCAGGCCCUACGGGGCGCAGCAGGCGCGAAAACUCUACAAUGCAGGCAACUGCGAUAGGGGAACAUCGAGUGGCAUCUACAUUAGGUGUCUGUCCAGCUGUCUAAAAAACGGCUGUUAGCAAGGGCCGGGCAAGACCGGUGCCAGCCGCCGCGGUAAUACCGGCGGCUCGAGUGGUGGCCGAUAUUAUUGAGUCUAAAGGGUCCGUAGCCGGCUUUGCAAGUCUUGUGGGAAAUCCAGCGGCUUAACCGUUGGGCGUCUGCGGGAUACUACAUUGCUUGGGACUGGGAGAGGUAGGAGGUACUCAGGGGGUAGGAGUGAAAUCCUGUAAUCCUCUGGGGACCACCGGUGGCGAAGGCGUCCUACCAGAACAGGUCCGACGGUGAGGGACGAAAGCUAGGGGCACGAACCGGAUUAGAUACCCGGGUAGUCCUAGCCGUAAACGAUGCCCGCUAGGUGUCACGGCAGUCGUGAACUGCCGUGGUGCCGUAGGGAAGCCGUGAAGCGGGCCACUUGGGAAGUACGACCGCAAGGUUGAAACUUAA
RNAcentral lists this ribosomal RNA (757 nucleotides) under uncultured archaeon. Its description in RNAcentral is "bacterial SSU rRNA". It matches the Rfam family "Archaeal small subunit ribosomal RNA", at positions 102 to 859 of the family's 1478-position model. The record is from RNAcentral.